GUCAACUUUAACACCGAGAGCCAUGUAGCAAAGUUACACGCCAGCAGCAUUUAUGUGUGGUGAAAUAUUCAUAUAAAUACCCCUAUCUGCGUGAUAAAACUACAAAACAUUAAUGCUAAACAAGGAUUAGAGACCCUUUUAUACAAAUGUACACAUUAACUUUGCGGAGUACUACAACUAUCAGAGUUAAAACUUAACCAACAUGGCGGUAAUUUAAACUUAGGGGAACUUACCAAGUAAUUGAUAACCACCAUGGUUGAACAACUAUAAAAAAUUCUUGUAUGCCGUCGUCGUCAGGUAGCAUGCGAAGUUCUAUCUCAACAGUAAAUCUUAAAAGACAGAUCAAGGUGCAGACAAUUUUAUAGCUUCGGCGAGUUACAAUUCUUAAUACCAACGGAUAAGCGAUGUAAAUCACAUCUGAAGCUGGACUUAAAAGUAAUAAACAUUACUAUUAUUUUAUGAAUAU
RNAcentral lists this ribosomal RNA (466 nucleotides) under Camaenidae sp. BL7. Its description in RNAcentral is "partial 12S ribosomal RNA". The record is from RNAcentral. Lineage: Eukaryota; Metazoa; Mollusca; Gastropoda; Stylommatophora; Camaenidae.